This is a long non-coding RNA of Bubalus bubalis (water buffalo), 625 nucleotides long. RefSeq lists it as uncharacterized. The transcript is spliced from 3 exons. NCBI's taxonomy places the organism in Eukaryota, Metazoa, Chordata, Mammalia, Artiodactyla, Bovidae. The record is from RefSeq and is a predicted model, not a curated record.
CAUACUGAGCCCGGAGCUGAACUCUUCAAGGGAGAGGCGUCCCUUCCGCUCCACAUCCACCCAGUCAAAGAUCAUCUCCAGCUCAUCCUCGCUGCUCAGGAAGCUGAACUUGGCUGCCUGCAACGAUAGAGGUGUGACAAGUCCGCUGUAAGGAGCGCCCUUGGACGCAAUGCCCGCAAAGCUGGCCUGAAAACAGGGGAUCUUCCUGACCCAAAAUCAAACCUGGAUUUCCUGCACUGCAGGCAGAUUCUUUACCAACUGAGCUACAAUGGAAGCCCAAAUUGCCCAUAAAUACUUGCAGCUUCUCAAAUGCUCCUUGAGCCUGUCAUAACAUCAUACUGAGUCCCUCACUGACUGAUAAUAAUAAUAAUGAUGAAUUAGCUAGCUCUUUGAUAAGUAUUGAUUUUAUAUUUACUCAAAAGUCUUUUUUCUUUACCAUUUUGAAAAUUAUAAUUUAACAUCAGCCAUUUGUACUUUUUUUGUGGCUCUGAGGGUAGAAUACAGAUAGGAAGGGUCAGUUUUGAUGGAAAAAGGUCAAAGUCUAGAGCAUGGAACAAAAUCAGGAGGAGACAGCAGGUCCAGUGAGAUGCCAACAACUCACAUAGGACCCUUUGUAGAAAAUGAA